AGGUGGGUAUGGAGGAGCCCU
RNAcentral lists this microRNA (21 nucleotides) under Homo sapiens (human). RNAcentral describes it as "hsa-miR-6769a-5p". The record is from miRBase by way of RNAcentral. Lineage: Eukaryota; Metazoa; Chordata; Mammalia; Primates; Hominidae.